Molecule: long non-coding RNA, 1755 nt
Organism: Harmonia axyridis
Lineage: Eukaryota; Metazoa; Arthropoda; Insecta; Coleoptera; Coccinellidae
Exons: 2
Source: RefSeq, a predicted model, not a curated record
ACAGAUUACGGAUAACAUAGAUAGAACACUCGCCUUCCCCCACCCGAAAUUAAGUUUUAGUUCUUGGCCCACGCGCUUGGAACCGCUGCAAGUCAUUUGUUUACGUUUGGUUUGCUCUUGCAAUAUUAUUUUAACCUAGAAGCUGAAAAUGGACGUUUGUCAUUGAAGUUGUUCAACUAAGUACAAUUCUCGUACGCCGUAGAAAUUCAUUUGAAGAAAAAAAUAUACUUCCAAAUUUCGAGAAUGCCUAGACUAAAGAAAUGUUGUGUACAAGGAUGUACCGAUGAGACAAGUACAAGAAAUCAUUUCCCUCAGAGUAAUUUGGAUUAAUUCAAUAACUGGCUCCAAAUGAUCCAACCAAGAUAUUGGCAACAAUUCAGUAGGCAUCGAAUUUAUGAAGGUUAUUUUGUGUGCCAUUCACAUUUUGAUAAAAAAUAUCAUCUUCCAGGAAGCCAUCGUGGUCUUACUUGCAAUGCCAUACCUACAAUCAGUAUUCCAGGUAAUUUUAUCGAAUUACUCAAUUUUAUUCAUAUUUAAACCCCUUAAAUUUUUGUUCCAUGUGUACUGUCCAAUGGAGCUGUAGUAUAUUCUGGUUUAAACGAUACUAAGAAUUAGGCGUUACAUAGUAUAUAUUUCAGUAAUAGUUAUAGGAUGUAGUAUGUUUCUAGUUUGUUGGUUUUUGAAUUCUGAUGAACAUUUGAUUUUUUGUAGGUACUGUAUGCACUGAUUGAUUCUCUCAAUGUAUCAAAGAUUUGAAAUACACAGCGUAAGUUUUUGAAGGAACCAAUAACCACAAAAUCGGAACAUGAAAUAUUUUGGAAAAAAUCAAUAAAAAUUUUUGAAAACAUGUAUUUCUAUGAUGAAAAAAAACAAAAAAAUGUGGUGGUACCUACCAUAAAAAAUUUUAUUUGGACUUUAAAAGCUUUCGUUUACCUUAAGAGGAGGUUGUUAACUGAAAAAAAUUUCAAGUAUAUCUUGAAUGGUGCUUUCAAUCAAGAUUGCCUUGAAAAUUUUUUCAGUUAUAUCCGAGGGCAUGGUGUAAGGAACACUAAUCCAAAUAUUGGCCAGUUUAUGUCCUCUUUCAAAUGCCUUACUUUGAAUAACUUCAUGUCCUCACAUCACAUUGUUUGGAUAAUCUAAAAUCAUUUGUUUUAUCAAAAUUUCCUUUACCUCAAAAUGUUGUGCUUGAAGAUUUAAAUAUAGUUAUUCCGAAAUUAAUAGUCCUUGAACAAAAAUCAAAAUUUAGUAGAUGUACUUUAGUUUAUAUGUGUGGAUUCAUUUGUAAAAUUUUAUUUGAAGAUAAAUUGAUCAAACAAUGUGAUAAGUGUAAAAAAAAUUUAACCUUUAACAGUGAAGAAUUGGGGGACAUGGAUUUUAUUCAGGUAAGGCAGUAUAAACACGGAAAGUUGACAAAACCUGGGCAAUGUGUAUCAUUUUUAUUUCGGCAUUCUCUAAAUUACCUUUUCUAUAUUAUUCCGCGAAUUUGUGAAAAAAAAAACAUUUCCCUCUAUUUAAAAUCGUUUCUAAUGAAAUAUUUGGACUUCAAAAUUUUAAAUUGUAAUGAACAUAUGUUGGGGGAAAAAGUAUGUGAGACAAUAAUAAGGUGUUCCUUGCACUGGUGGUGCAAGCAGGUAAACGAAAUUAUGAGUGGUACCGACACAAAAUUUUCCAAGUUCCUUCUAACUUCCCCUAGUGAAGAAUUUAUUGAUCCUAUAAAAAUAGGGGCAAAAAGGAUCUUUGAUACAAAGAGAAAAA